RNAcentral lists this long non-coding RNA (528 nucleotides) under Anas platyrhynchos platyrhynchos (common mallard). RNAcentral describes it as "lncRNA (ENSAPLG00000028276.1)". RNAcentral also lists the same sequence under 1 other name. The record is from RNAcentral. Lineage: Eukaryota; Metazoa; Chordata; Aves; Anseriformes; Anatidae.
UCUCUAUUUUAAAAGCUCUGUCAUGGGCGAAUUAGAAAUUUGUGUUGAAGUCAAGGACAAAGGUAAUAUAAAUUGACAACAGUCUCCACCACAAUUGCUCCUUGUUAAUUUGCAUAAUUUGUUUAUUGUUUGGUGUGUUUUUCCUUUUUAGAGUGUCUAUUCAAGCCAGACCCUUGAGGCAUAAACAGUAGCAGUCUAAUCUCUCUAAGGACAUAAUUUAUACUCUUAAAGUCUCACAGUGAAUAGCAGUAGGAAACCAACUAAAUUAGACGUACACUGGAGUCCCCAGGAAUGAUACAGGCAAUAUGCAAGCCUAGGUAACCAGGAUGUGUUUCAAGAGUUACCAUAGUAAAAACCUAGAAACGAGUAGAAGAAAUUGUGAAUCAUGUUGCAACUGCCACCUGGCACUAUUCCGUUAGCACUGGAAAAGCAAGCCUAGCCUGCCAAUAGCAUCGUUUGAGUGACAGACUGUGAAAAUUCAAACACUCCACAAAAACAUCCUUUUCCUCUGGAAAAAAAUGAAAUUUG